This 283-nucleotide ribosomal RNA is filed under the name uncultured Anaerolineaceae bacterium. Its description in RNAcentral is "partial 16S ribosomal RNA". It matches the Rfam family "Bacterial small subunit ribosomal RNA", at positions 1084 to 1382 of the family's 1533-position model. The record is from RNAcentral. Lineage: Bacteria; Bacillati; Chloroflexota; Anaerolineae; Anaerolineales; Anaerolineaceae.
GUCCGCUAACGAGCGCAACCCUCGCUGUGUGUUAUAUGUGUCACACAGGACUGCUGGUAUUAAGCCGGAGGAAGUGGGGACGACGUCAAGUCAGCAUGACCUUUAUAUCCAGGGCUACACACACGCUACAAUGGUCAGUACAAUGGGUUGCCAAGCCGCGAGGCGGAGCCAAUCCUAAAAAGCUGGCCUCAGUUCGGAUUGCAGGCUGCAAUUCGCCUGCAUGAAGUCGGAAUCGCUAGUAAUCGCAGGUCAGCAUACUGCGGUGAAUACGUUCCCGGGCCUU